AUACUUACCUGGCAGGGGAGAUAUCGUGAUCACCAAGGUGGUUUUUCCAGGGUGAGGCUUAUCCAUUGCACUCCGGAUGUGCUGACCCCUGCGAUUUCCCCAAAUGUGGGAAACUUGACUGCAUAAAUUGUAGUAGUGGGGGACUGUGUUCACGCUUUCCCAUA
This 164-nucleotide small nuclear RNA is filed under the name Microcebus murinus (gray mouse lemur). RNAcentral's name for it is "U1 spliceosomal RNA (ENSMICG00000047981.1)". It matches the Rfam family "U1 spliceosomal RNA". From Rfam's summary of the family: U1 is a small nuclear RNA (snRNA) component of the spliceosome (involved in pre-mRNA splicing). Its 5' end forms complementary base pairs with the 5' splice junction, thus defining the 5' donor site of an intron. There are significant differences in sequence and secondary structure between metazoan and yeast U1 snRNAs, the latter being much longer (568 nucleotides as compared to 164 nucleotides in human). Lineage: Eukaryota; Metazoa; Chordata; Mammalia; Primates; Cheirogaleidae. The record is from Rfam by way of RNAcentral.